RNAcentral lists this long non-coding RNA (500 nucleotides) under Panax ginseng (ginseng). RNAcentral's name for it is "long non-coding RNA (PGIN_LNC017686)". The record is from RNAcentral. Lineage: Eukaryota; Viridiplantae; Streptophyta; Magnoliopsida; Apiales; Araliaceae.
UUAAAUAUUUAGCAGAAGAUGUUUUAUUGAUAAUAUAGUUAUUAAAAGGGGGAGUAUUACAGUACACACUCUUCAACUCAACUCAUGUAACGACAACAUACUUGAGCACCACACUGGAAUUAUCAUAAACCAAGCCAAAUUAAGGCAUGCACACUCAUUUAUCCGGCCGGAUCAAGAAAACAAAACAAACUUUAUGGCAUAAGCCAUGCACACACUAUGGGAUGCGAUUUUACUUAAUUAGCAAGGAGGUAAGCCUCAACGGCCUUGAAUAUGAGCCCUGCCUUCUCGGUGGCAUCCUUAAUGUUCUCUUCUGGGAUCACGGCGUCGCCUAUGGUGUUGUAAAUGGUGGUGUUCUUAACAAUGGACCCUCCAUCCGGAGUAGGCACAAUAGUGAAAUGAUUAACGAUGGAUUCGAUUAUGUCCAACAGGAUAUCGCCUCCGAUGAUGGAGUAAGUGUAGGUCAACGCGUCCUUGUCAAUUGCAUCUACCCGUUGCUUCAU